RNAcentral lists this ribosomal RNA (442 nucleotides) under uncultured bacterium. Its description in RNAcentral is "partial 16S ribosomal RNA". It matches the Rfam family "Bacterial small subunit ribosomal RNA", at positions 338 to 795 of the family's 1533-position model. The record is from RNAcentral.
CCUACGGGCGGCUGCAGUGGGGAAUAUUGGGCAAUGGGCGCAAGCCUGACCCAGCAACGCCGCGUGAAGGAAGAAGGCUUUCGGGUUGUAAACUUCUAUUGUCAGGGAAGAGGAGAAGACGGGACCUGACGAAUAAGCCAUGGCUAACUACGUGCUAGCAGCCGCGGUAAUACGGAGGGGGCAAGCGGUGUCCGGAUUUACUGGGUGGAAAGGGCGUGUAGGCGGGGUGACAAGUCAGAUGUGAAAUCCUGCGGCUUAACCGCAGAACUGCAUUUGAAACUGUUGAUCUUGAGUACUGGAGAGGCAGCCGGAAUUCCUAGUGUAGCGGUGAAAUGCAUAGAUAUCACGCAGAACACCGAUUGCGACGGCAUCUCACGAAUCCGCGAUUGACGCUGAUGCACGAAAGCGUGGGUAUCAAACAGGAUUAGAUACCCGGGUAGUC